RNAcentral lists this ribosomal RNA (468 nucleotides) under uncultured bacterium. RNAcentral describes it as "partial 16S ribosomal RNA". It matches the Rfam family "Bacterial small subunit ribosomal RNA", at positions 28 to 507 of the family's 1533-position model. The record is from RNAcentral.
GAUGAACGCUGGCGGCGUGCUUAAUACAUGCAAGUCGAACGGAAAGGCCAUGAUCUUGUUGGGUGCUCGAGUGGCGAACGGGUGAGUAACACGUGAGUAACAUGCCCUUGACUUUGGGGUAACAUUAGGAAACUGGGGCUAAUACCGGAUAGGAGCUCCUGCUGCAUGGUGGGGGUUGGAAAGUUGCGGCGGUUGGGGAUGGACUCGCGGGUUACCCGCUUCUUUGUGAGGUUGGGGUUUACCAAGGCUUUGACGGGUAGCCGGCCUGAGCGGGUGACCAGCGUCAUGGGGACUGAGAUACGGCCCAGACUCCAACGGGACGCAGCAGGGGGGAAUCUUGCACAAUGGGCGGAAGCCUGAUGCAGCAACGCCGCGUGCGGGAUGACGGCCUUCGGGGUGUAAACCGCUGUCGCCGGUAACGAAGCGGGAGUGACGGUAAUGAGUAAAGAAGCACCGGCUAACUACGUG